GAUGAACGCUAGCGAUAGGCUUAACACAUGCAAGUCGAGGGGCAGCACAAGGUUGCUUGCUAUCUGGGUGGCGACCGGCGCACGGGUGCGUUACGCGUAUGCCACUUGCGCUAUACAGGAGGAUUACCCGUCGAAAGACGGACUAAUACUGCGUAUGCUCACAAAUUGGCAUCAUGUGGAGAGGAAAGAAGUUCGGUGAAGGAUAUGCAUGCGUCCCAUUAGCUUGUUGGUGAGGUAACGGCUCACCAAGGCAACGAUGGGGAGGGGAACAGAGGGGUUUGUCCCCCAAGCUGGUACUGAGACACGAACCAGACGCCUACGGGAGGCAGCAGUGAGGAAUAUUGGUCAAGGGGCGCGAGCCUGAACCAGCCAAGUCGCGUGAAGGAUGACUGUCUGAGGGAUAGUAAACUUCUUGUAUACGGGAAUAACAAGAGUCACGUGUGACUCCCUGCAUGUACCGUAUGAAUAAGCAUCGGCUAACUCCGUG
RNAcentral lists this ribosomal RNA (487 nucleotides) under uncultured bacterium. Its description in RNAcentral is "partial 16S ribosomal RNA". It matches the Rfam family "Bacterial small subunit ribosomal RNA", at positions 28 to 507 of the family's 1533-position model. The record is from RNAcentral.